ACGUAGGGUGCAAGCGUUAAUCGGAAUUACUGGGCGUAAGGCGUGCGCAGGCGGUUCUGUAAGACAGAUGUGAAAUCCCCGGGCUCAAACUGGGAAUUGCAUUUGUGACUGCAGGACUAGAGUUCAUCAGAGGGGGGUGGAAUUCCAAGUGUAGCAGUGAAAUGCGUAGAUAUUUGGAAGAACACCAAUGGCGAAGGCAGCCCCCUGGGAUGCGACUGACGCUCAUGCACGAAAGCGUGGGGAGCAAACAG
RNAcentral lists this ribosomal RNA (251 nucleotides) under uncultured prokaryote. RNAcentral's name for it is "partial 16S rRNA". It matches the Rfam family "Bacterial small subunit ribosomal RNA", at positions 525 to 775 of the family's 1533-position model. The record is from RNAcentral.